This 523-nucleotide ribosomal RNA is filed under the name uncultured bacterium. Its description in RNAcentral is "bacterial SSU rRNA". It matches the Rfam family "Bacterial small subunit ribosomal RNA", at positions 362 to 879 of the family's 1533-position model. The record is from RNAcentral.
UCUUCGGCAAUGGGCGCAAGCCUGACCGAGCGACGCCGCGUGCGGGAUGAAGGCCUUCGGGUUGUAAACCGCUGUCGUAGAGGAGGAAAUGCAGGGGGGUUCUCCCUUCUGUUUGACCUAUUCUAGGAGGAAGUACGGGCUAAGUUCGUGCCAGCAGCCGCGGUAAGACGAACCGUACAAACGUUACUCGGAAUUACUGGGCUUAAAGGGUGCGUAGGCUGCGCGGAAAGUUGGGUGUGAAAGCCCUCGGCUCAACCGAGGAAUUGCACUCAAAACUACCGUGCUUGAGGGAGGCAGAGGUAAGCGGAACUCAAGGUGGAGCGGUGAAAUGCGUUGAUAUCUUGAGGAACACCGGUGGCGAAGGCGGCUUACUGGGUCUUUUCUGACGCUGAGGCACGAAAGCUAAGGUAGCAAACGGGAUUAGAUACCCCGGUAGUCUUAGCUGUAAACGAUGAGCACUUGAUUGGAGGGUCCUCCAUAGCCUUCCAGUCGUAGCGAAAGUGUUAAGUGCUCCGCCUGGGGA